Molecule: ribosomal RNA, 252 nt
Filed under: uncultured bacterium
Lineage: Bacteria
Description: partial 16S ribosomal RNA
Rfam family: Bacterial small subunit ribosomal RNA
Source: RNAcentral
UACGUAGGUGGCGAGCGUUGUCCGGAAUUAUUGGGCGUAAAGCGCGCGCAGGCGGGAAAGUAAGUCUACUCUAAAAGUGCGGGGCUCAACCCCGUGAUGGGGUGGAAACUGCUUUUCUUGAGUGCCGGAGAGGAAAGUGGAAUUCCCAGUGUAGCGGUGAAAUGCGUAGAUAUUGGGAGGAACACCAGUGGCGAAGGCGACUUUCUGGACGGUGUCUGACGCUGAGGCGCGAAAGCCAGGGGAGCGAACGGG